ACGCUCGACACCUACGGAGGCAGCAGUCGGGAAUAUUGCGCAAUGGAGGAAACUCUGACGCAGUGACGCCGCGUAUAGGAAGAAGGUUUUCGGAUUGUAAACUAUUGUCGUUAGGGAAGAGAAAGGACAGUACCUAAGGAGGAAGCUCCGGCUAACUACGUGCCAACAGCCGCGGUAAUCUGAGCGGGCUGGCAAGGC
RNAcentral lists this ribosomal RNA (198 nucleotides) under uncultured bacterium. RNAcentral's name for it is "partial 16S ribosomal RNA". It matches the Rfam family "Bacterial small subunit ribosomal RNA", at positions 328 to 539 of the family's 1533-position model. The record is from RNAcentral.